Molecule: non-coding RNA, 103 nt
Filed under: human gut metagenome
Description: FMN riboswitch (RFN element)
Rfam family: FMN riboswitch aptamer (RFN element)
About the family: The RFN element is a highly conserved domain that is found frequently in the 5'-untranslated regions of prokaryotic mRNAs that encode for flavin mononucleotide (FMN) biosynthesis and transport proteins.
Source: RNAcentral
UGUUUCGGGGCGGGGUGAAAUUCCCCACCGGUGGUAAAGCCCACGAGCGUUAAGCUGAUUUGGUGUAAUUCCAAAGCCGACGGUAAAGUCCGGAUGAGAGAAG